RNAcentral lists this ribosomal RNA (255 nucleotides) under uncultured bacterium. RNAcentral's name for it is "partial 16S ribosomal RNA". It matches the Rfam family "Bacterial small subunit ribosomal RNA", at positions 524 to 776 of the family's 1533-position model. The record is from RNAcentral.
GACGAAGGGGGCUAGCGUUGUUCGGAAUUACUGGGCGUAAAGCGCGUGUAGGCGGUUGUUCAAGUCAGGUGUGAAAGCCUUGAGCUCAACUCAAGAAAUGCACUUGAUACUGGAUGACUAGAGGACCGGAGAGGAUAGUGGAAUUCCCAGUGUAGUGGUGAAAUACGUAGAGAUUGGGAAGAACACCAGUGGCGAAGGCGGCUAUCUGGACGGUUACUGACGCUAAAGACGGCGAAAGCGUGGGGAGCAAACAGG